This 116-nucleotide small RNA is filed under the name Marmota monax (woodchuck). The record is from RNAcentral. Lineage: Eukaryota; Metazoa; Chordata; Mammalia; Rodentia; Sciuridae.
ACUGGACAUGGUGGUGCAUGCCUGUAAUCCCAGUGGCUGGGAGGUUGAGGCAGAGGAUCACAAGGCCAGCCUCAGGGAAGCGAGGUGCUAAGCAAUUCAGUGAGACCCUGUCUCUA